This 886-nucleotide long non-coding RNA is filed under the name Eucalyptus grandis. Its description in RNAcentral is "long non-coding RNA (EGRA_LNC003909)". Lineage: Eukaryota; Viridiplantae; Streptophyta; Magnoliopsida; Myrtales; Myrtaceae. The record is from RNAcentral.
GAUUUACAAAGUUUAACGUAUCAUGUUACGGAAUUGAAAUUCAUUUGAUAUCAGUGAAAGUCCGACCAGAGUACAAUAUAAUUUACCCAGCAAUCCUUGUUAAAUGGAAUUUGUUAAAUUUGAAAGCUACCUGUAAUUCUUAUCUCAAAAGCUCAAGAAAAGCUAAGCAGAUGAUUGAUUUACUCGAAAUAAGAAAACUAAAUAUUUGAGACAGCAAUGUCUAUCUGUGCUGGCCAUAUAAUGUCAUUAAGUUACUCAAUUUGCUGCAAAUCUUUAAAUGAAAGGGCAACUCAAUUUUCUACAAGAUUUUCCAAUGCAUCAAAAGUGUCAUUUCUUUUGUCGCAGUAUGUAGCAUUUUGUGUUAACUAACCUGCUGACAGCAUUUGUAAGUUUCUAGUUAAUUUAUGUUGGUGUAAGUGCUGAAAGAAUUUGAUUUAUGGAUGGAGACCUCAUCAGUGUUGGAGAACCCUUAUCAUGACAAAGCUUUAGUCCCAUCCCCUGAUGUUGAGUGUUAGCUCUUAGUUAAAAUUUGCCUCGACAGCAUUGAAAUCUUCAAAACAAACUACAAGCACUCAAAUUUUGUGCACACAUGUGUAUAAGUAAAUCUUACUGCAAAGGUUUGUUUUCUGACUACACAUUGGCUGCUUGAGGCAUUUAAAACUUCGUUUUGCCCUCUAUACGCCUAAAAGUGGUUGUUGAAAAACUGACACGGCAAUGAUCUUGAGCUGACCUACCAAAAAAAAAAAAAAAAAAUGAUCUUGAGCUGUUGCUUAUCAACAAUCUUAGAGGAAGUUAUGUUCGCAUCAUGCGUUCUGUGUGUCUCUCUGUUGAGAGAUUUUGGUUAGUCUAUCUUUGACCUUUUUAUUGGUAACCAUCUGUCAAGUGC